AGCACAGCACCCCUCAGGACGAGACAGAGAUAGCGAGCAUUAACCAGAAGUUCUUUGUGUAGCAGGCUGAAGCAAAAGGGGAUUAACGGCAUCUUUCAUGGGUGUGUCGGCUUCUUUUUACCGCGCACCUGGAGGACAGGCCCACCAGUUUUUGCCUAACUGGCACCGAAUGGAAAACCCACAUACCGGGUAGGCCAUCGCCCGCUGAAUUGAUCAGAGUGCGCUGUAAGGGAAGAGACGGUGCUGCUCGUUGUAACAGAUAACGGGGCCAACAUCAUCGAGACUGUUCGGCUUGUACCAACGCUUCUCAGCAUGAGCAAAGAGCUGAUGCGGAGGGCCAGGAUGAAAUGUGGAUGGACUCUGAGUCAGACACAGAGUCUGAGCAUUUGCAGCUAUAAUGUUCGAGUUCCCUUUUGGCUUUUCUGAUUCAUAUGAAUAUAUAGAAGAAAUCUCUGCAUGGCCCUUGUCUGAAAGGUGGCACCACCAACAAGUUCACAGUGGAAACCAGGUAUUUAUGAAGGAUUCAUGGUGAAGUGUCACAAACCUGUUUUCUGUAAAACUCUAUCAUCUUCCCUGUGCAGAGGAGCAGGUACUGUUGGCCUUGGUCUACCAAUGGAAAGUCCAUCUGAGGCCAAAAUGUCCUGAACCGACAACAAGGAUGGCAGCUGCAGUGUGGAGUACAUCCCAUAUGAGGCUGGCACGUACAACCUCAACAUCGCGUAUAGAGGACAACCUAUCACAGGUGCUGAAUGGUAUUUUAGUAGUAUUAAGAAAUACAAUUGUGAGAGAAGAGCGUCUUAAGUGUAUAGUGUUGAAAUGUACUCCAUCUGCUGCUGUUAAAAGGGGGGGGGGGGGCCUUAAAUAUUUGUUCUAAUUUUCCCUCAUGUCUUGCCUGAGCCCAAGAAGGUAAAUAUCCAUUACAACCAUGAUGGGACCUACCUGGUGUGUUAUGUGCCAGACAUGACUGACAGAUACACAAUUCUCAUUAAGUACGGAGGAGACGAGAUCCCUUAUUUACCCUACUGAACCAGGCUUCUGUAUACCAGAGGAGCCAGCAAGUGCACUUUCACAGGUAUGUACUGGACAAAUGGGCUUCUGCAGUCAUAGCAGUUAUAGAGGUUUUGUUGUUGUUGCUGUUGUUUUCUUUACUUUUUGUGGUUUUUCUACUAAUUUGUCAAAGUCAGUUGUACUGCUGAUCAGCUUCUCAUUUCUGUAGGAAUAAUUAGUAAAACAUAAUGUGUGGAAUACUGAUACAAAAUGCACCUAGAUUUUCAACAUCCGCAUCUGAUUCUUAUAAACAAUAUAUGCCCCUUUUUCCAAAUGUUGCUUUCUAUUGCUAUUAAAGUUCUUGCAACCAGGAGAGAUCAAAGGGUGUUUUGUGCUGGUUUUCACUCAGAGCGCAGAAAUCCAUAGUUGCUCAUACAGGAUGUAAUAUAUUUCAGAAAAUGUUAAACAGAUUUACAAAUGGGUAAAUACCUAUAAAUAUGUCUCUUUAGAACACGAGUAGGUGUUUCUCAGACAGUAUAAGUGGCUGGGUUAGUGAUAUGAAAUUACCUCGCAGACUUCUUGAGCUGUUGUCCAGUUUCAUACAUACAAUGAACUGAGGUAUUCUCUUUGGUUAAUUACUUGUUUGACAAUGGCAACGAUUGCAAGUAUUCCUCCCCAACCACAUCUACUAAGGGGACACCGAACUUAUGCGCUCCAGAGAUGAUUAUGUAGGUGUUCUGUAAGGAUGACGAGUUUUGAAAAAAGUCAUGUGAUACAGAUUUUCUCUCAGUAUACCUGCUGCUCAUAUCUCAUCAUUUUUCUGUGCAUUGGUAUGUGGUAUUCCUCACACUGUGCUCCUCAGUUACACCCCCUGCCCAAUCCUCACACUGCUUCCUCUCUCAUAACUGUGUGUCUCCAUUUCCAUUUUAUAUUGCACAAACUAAUGGACUGACAGAGUAGGUAGGAAAGCGUGGUGAAAUGGCACUUUGGCUAAUCUAGCUUUCUGUUUAUAACGGUUAUAGACCCUGUGCACGAGAAAAUGCUAAUUUCUUGUUUUAAGACCGGAUGUAGGGUUGUACAUUUCCAGUAGCUUUAUUUUGCGGUCAAUCGCUACUGCGAAGGUGGACUCCAAAAUCAUGUCCAAAAUACGAAAACGGAGAGAUCGCGUUAAGUUCAAAAGAGCAGGAGGUGGGAACACUCACCAUUGCUGUGUCAUAAAAAACCAAAUGAUCAAUUUUGACGUUUGAAGCGUGUAGAUUGAUUGGUUGUUUACAUUACUCAACACAAGCAAAACUGCAUUACAAAAUCAGAAGACACAUCGUCCACACUCAGAAGCACAUCUCUGUAUAGUGACAGUUCUUAUGAUUUAAAGAGGGAAAUGUCCAGCAUUCAAACUACAGAUGAACAAUAGUCAAAGCCAGAUGUUUCCCAGAUGUCUCUAUAUAUUCGUAUUUACAAAGGGUAUGUUGUGACUUAUCUUCACAAUUACAGUGGUCCCUCGCUAUAAUGCGGUGCACCUUUCGCAGUCUCGCUGUUUCGCGCAUGUUUUUAGUGCAAUUUUGCAUGCUUUUUUUUUUUUUAAGCGCAGUGUGUCCUGAUCAGCUGUAGAUCACUGUCGAUCUCCUCCGUGCCGUCUCGCCUGUACAGUACAGAAUCGCUACAUCAAUCGCUAGCAGUGUGACUCUGAAGUGCUGUACUGUAUGUUUGUAAGUUUUCUCCCCAACAAAAAACAAUGUCGGCGAAACGUUUUGCACCGUCAUAGGCAGCUGCGGUAGCACCCAAAAGGCAGAGGAAGAUAAGCAUCGCAAAACAAACGUUGGACUUCUGGGACCAUACGGCGCACCGGAUUAUAAGGUGCAUUAAGCUGAAAUUAAGCAAUUAAGCUUAAAGUUAAAUUGAUUAGUUCUAAAAUCCGUCAUUAUUAUUUAUAGAAAAAAACAUAUAUACUGUAUGUUUAUUUUUCAAAUAAAUGUUUGGGACUGAAAACUGGUUUUGAUCUUCGGUUUCAUUCUAUAAUACUGGACUUUUUUUUCUUGAACUUUGAGAGUGUUUAAACGAGAGAGAAAAGUGGGACAAUGUUGAUGCCUGUCUGAGAAAAGUGUAUAAAGUGUGUAGUGAGGGGUUUUACAGCCUUAAAACAUAUAAAAUAAUUGUAAAAAUAACAAUAAUAAUAAUAAUAAAGUUGGCUACUUUGCGGAUUUCACCUAUUGCUGGUUAUUUUUAGAACAUAACCCCCGCGAUAAACGAGAGAACACUAUAGACAAGUAUCGACAAGUCGAUGAACGUCAUCUACAGAUGUAUUCGGUAAAUGCUCAAGACAUCUUGAGAAAUGUAAAUUGCCGCUUGAUUCAUCCAUUUGGUUGACUUUUUUGCAAAAAAAACAAGGUGCGAAAAUCACACCGAAAACGAAGCGCCUUUAUUCUUUUAAAGAACUUUAUUUGACAAACAAUGAGUAUACAACAUACGAACAGAUGAAGUAUACAAAAGAACAGAACAUGAACACACAAAACCAGGGGUAAAAAGAAAAAAACAAUAAUUAUAUGAAUACACGCACAUAUAUAUCACAUAUAUAUAUUGUUUUGAGAGCCUUUUUGUUGGUGGAGUCUGAUAUUGAUUGUAUAUACAUUUCCACAUCCUUAAGAAAAUGACAGAAAUAUGGUGUUUUAUUAGUAAACUUGCAUUUAUGGAUAAAAAAUUUAGCUAAAAGUAUUAACAAAUUUAUUAUAAAAAAACAUUUAUCAUUCUUCUUGGGGAACUUAAAGAAACAGAAUAAAACAUUUUCCCAUCAUAAAGAAAACUCCCUCAAAAUAUGGACAAUAACAAACCUGCUAAAUUCCUUCCAGAAUCUCUAUGUAGAAGAACAGUACCAAAAAAUAUGUGUCACAGUUUCUGGAUGAUCCUCACAGAAAGUACAAUUAGUAUUUAUGUCUCUUUCAAAUUUUACCAUGUAGUGACUGGCUGGAUAACAUUUAUGUAGAAUUUUAAAUGAAACUUCCUUCACCUUAUUUACAAUCAAAUAUUUAUGGGGGAUCAUCCAGACUGUCUUCCACUUGAUAUCUGGAACAUAUCGGUUCCAGUAAGAUAUUACAUAUGGGAGAGAGACGAUAUCUUCUUGGAAUAAACUACGUAUUCUCUUAUUGCUGUUACCAAGUUCCUGUGAAAAGCAGAUUUUUCCCACUGCUGACUCAGCUGGAUCAGGGAGAGUGACUGAGGUAGAUAUUGAGAGGUCAGUGUUUUUAUAUAACAUUAAAUUACUUGAGGGUAUGGCACCAAGCACCAUUGAGAAUUCCUGAACACUGACUGGAAAAUUAUAUAGUGCAAGAAAUUCGUUGUAAGUAAGUAGUUGUCCCCCUUUAUUAACCAGCUGAGCCACUAAUAGGAUCCCAUUUUGGACCCAAAUUUCCAGGAAAAGUGAUUUAUUUUUAAAUAAAAUAUCUCUGUUGUUCCAGAUGAGGUAUUUGUGUGGUGAGAAGUUGUGUUUAUAAAUGAGGGUCCACGCUAAGAGGACCUGCUUAUGGAAGGAUGAAAGUUUUACAGGGAGUUUCUCAACAUUGUAAUUACAAUUUAAAAUAAAAUGAAAGCCACCAAAACGGGAGAAAAUAUGAUAUGGUAUAAAGUUCCAGAUAGAGGUAGGGUUUUUAAGAAAAUGUUUAGCUCAAUUAAUUUUGAAAGUGUUAUUUAAAGUAGAAAAGUCUAAAAAGUUAAGCCCACCUGAUUCGUAGUUAUUCAUCACAACAGUUUUUCUAAUAUAAUGCGUACAGUUUUUCCACAUAAAAUUAAAGAGCAUGCGGUCAAUAUCUUUACUAAUUUUCUUAUCCAGGUGUAAUGAGAGAGCAGCAUAUGUUAAUCAGGUUAUCCCUUCAGCUUUAGUAAUUAACACUCUACCUUUCAAAGUUAAGUCCCUUUGCAGCCACUGGUUGAACUUUUUUAGGGUUGGAGUGAAGUUUGAAGAGCAUUUUGAUUUUUGGUCUUUGGAUAUUAACAGUCCCAAGUAUGUGACUUCUUGUUUGACAGAAAUAUUACAGAUAGUAUUUGCAGGGCAGUCUUUAUUUGCUAGUAACUCUAAAAGAAAAACUAACAUUUUUUUAGAUUUAGCCAUAAACCAGUGGCCUCAGAGAAAUCACUAAUCACACUAAGGGCUAGAGGGAUUUGGUUUGCAUUCUUCAAAAAGAGUGUGGUGUCAUCAGCUAACUGUCUGAUGAUGAGCUCCUUAUCAGCUAUGGUGAUUCCUUGUACAACACUGUUUGAAAUAUUAGUUGCAAAAAUUUGUGUACAAAGUAAGAAUAAAUAUGGAGAAAUAGGACAUCCUUGGCGAAUACCACAUUUCAGGUCAAAUCUCGGGGUGGAGCCGUUAAUCAUUUUAAUAGAACUAUUGCCAUUUGUGUAUAAGGUUUUGACAGCUUUACAGAAAAACUCUCCAAAGCCAAAUUUUUCCGAAGAGUGGAAAAUAAAUUGAUGUUCAAUUGUAUCAAAAGCCUUAUAAAAAUCCAGGAAGAGAAUGAAGCUAUUGUCAGGUACCAAAUCAGAGUAAUCAAGUAAAUCCAAAACCAGUCUAAUGUUAUUAGAAAUGUGUCUAUUUCUCAUAAAGCCUGAUUGUGUCUCAU
Long non-coding RNA from Oreochromis niloticus (Nile tilapia), 5591 nucleotides. RefSeq lists it as uncharacterized. NCBI's taxonomy places the organism in Eukaryota, Metazoa, Chordata, Actinopteri, Cichliformes, Cichlidae. The record is from RefSeq and is a predicted model, not a curated record. The transcript is spliced from 2 exons.